GAGAAACUAUGAUGAUUUAAAUGAGUACUUUUGGUCGGUUGAUUGUUUUCGAUUAGGUUGGCCCAUGCGUGCUGAUGCCAGUUUCUUUUGCCCUCCUCCAAGGGAGCUUCUAUUUGAUAAAGAUGAGGAGAAGAAACGAGUUAUUGGUGAUAGAUGGACUGGCAAAGUUAAUUUUGUAGAAAUACGAUCAUUUUGGCAUGUGUUCAGAAGUUUUGAUAGAAUGUGGAGCUUUUUUAUUUUGUGUUUACAGGUAAACCUAACUUUAUAUAUUAUUCUUGUUCUUUUUCCUUCUUCUUGUUGACUGUUUGAUAUAUUGUCUUCUCAACAUCAUGACUCAUGUUGGCAUGUGCUGUCCAAUUAAGGCGAUGAUCAUCAUUGGUUGGAAUGGAUCAGGCAAAUUGAGUUCCAUAUUUGAGGGUGAUGUUUUCAAGAAAGUUCUAAGCAUCUUCAUAACUUCUGCUAUAUUAAAUUUUGCACAAGGUAGACAACAAUUGAUCCUCAAGGUUCUGUGUUGGUGCAAUAUUCAUUGUCUCAUGCAUUUAGUGUACGGAUGCUGACACUCAUGGAAUGUAAAAGAAUACACUUUUUAUCCAUUGUUAUAAUGAAUUUUUGUUUCAUUAUGGCUAAUAUAUUCCAUCAUGCUCUGCAAGACAUGCCCUUAGUUCUUUUAUUUAUAGUCUCAGCAUGGCUGCCAUUAAAAAGAUUUCAAUUCUUUUGGAUAAUUGGUCCAAACUGCUCUGAUUUGACAUGAAAAGCCAGAAUUGUUGCUGUCCAUGGUAAAUUGGUAAUUAAUUUAUUUUUGAUGAAUAGCAAGACUAGUAAGAUCCUUUUAUAUGACAUAACUGGAAAAUGGUUCAGCAAUUUUGUACGAGAAUUUAUUUUGGGAUUGGGUAAUAGUUUCCAUUCUCUGGCAGCAUUAAAUUUUCAGGAAAUUUGUAGAGGUGGGGCUAGGAGUUUGGCUGGUUUGGAUUGAGAUAAUGAAAUCUGUGACAAAUCUUGCAAAGUUUUAAACAUGUACUUCCCUGCUGCCGAUGGAUUGAUAAUAGGUUAAAUGGGGGAAGAAAAAGUGAGAAAUAAAGCUAGUAACAGUUGGUCCCAUGCUUUUAAAGUCUUCUGGCUGUCUUGAUAAGCCUGCUAGACUGCAUUAAUGGUAAUUCUCUGCGUUUCUUGGAUUCACAAGAUAUCCUUAAAACUGCAGAUUUUGUUUGUGUCCACUUUUACAUCUUUCAUAUACACUCUCCAAUGGCUCAAAAUUCUAUGGAACCAAGAAAAAAAUGCUAUAUACUACACAUCAUUAUAGUGAUCCAUAUGACGAUCUUCUUCUUUGUAAAAGUUGUGAUUUUAUUAAUAUGCUCUUGUAAUUUUGCAGCUGUGAUUGAUGUAAUUCUGAGCUGGAAGGCAAAGCAGGCCAUGCCAUUUUAUGUCAAACUAAGAUACAUUUUGAAGGUUCUUUCAGCUGCAGCAUGGGUCAUAGUUCUACCUGUUACUUAUGCUUAUAGUUGGGAAAAUCCUCCUGGACUUGGCCAGACCAUUAAGAAAUGGUUUGGCAAUAGUCCAAGUUCACCUUCUUUGUUCAUUUUGGCCAUCCUUAUUUAUUUAUCUCCAAACAUACUCUCUGCAUUGUUAUUUCUGUUCCCAUUCGUUCGCCGGGUUCUUGAGCGGUCAAAUUAUAAAAUUGUGAUGCUCAUGAUGUGGUGG
RNAcentral lists this unclassified non-coding RNA (1698 nucleotides) under Hevea brasiliensis (rubber tree). The record is from RNAcentral. Lineage: Eukaryota; Viridiplantae; Streptophyta; Magnoliopsida; Malpighiales; Euphorbiaceae.